RNAcentral lists this long non-coding RNA (360 nucleotides) under Populus trichocarpa (black cottonwood). Its description in RNAcentral is "long non-coding RNA (PTRI_LNC000972)". The record is from RNAcentral. Lineage: Eukaryota; Viridiplantae; Streptophyta; Magnoliopsida; Malpighiales; Salicaceae.
CCAAUUCCCACAUUCUACAGUUGUUCUCCAUGAACAGAAGAGGUGAUUUAUUCCUUUCCAAUCAUAUUACAAUAUAUGAACUGCCUUCCAGGUUGUGUAAGUAAAAAACAAUUAAUAAAGCGCAAAUCAUUGAAGGGUGGAGUUAUUAAAUAGGACCAUAUAGAAUUAUGUAAUAUAAUAUUCGAGUAUAUAUUUUCUUGCUGACCUUUAUGUUUAGGCAUGAGCAUGAGCCUUUCCUUUCCUCGUUCCUCUCCCCCCUCUCUCUCUCUCUCUCCCUCGCUAUUUGUUUUUGUAUAUAUUUGUCCGGUGACAGAAAGACAUGAAUAUUGUUUAAGCAUGAAGGUUCCGCACUGGCAGGAC